RNAcentral lists this ribosomal RNA (1435 nucleotides) under Microbotryum silenes-dioicae. Its description in RNAcentral is "LSU rRNA". It matches the Rfam family "Eukaryotic large subunit ribosomal RNA", at positions 38 to 1056 of the family's 3401-position model. The record is from RNAcentral. Lineage: Eukaryota; Fungi; Basidiomycota; Microbotryomycetes; Microbotryales; Microbotryaceae.
GCAUAUCAAUAAGCGGAGGAAAAGAAACUAACAAGGAUUCCCCUAGUAACGGCGAGUGAAGCGGGAAAAGCUCAAAUUUGUAAUCUGGCGCCUUUGGCGUCCGAGUUGUAAUCUCGAGAAGUAUUUUCCGCGCUGGACCGCACAUAAGUCUGUUGGAAUACAGCGUCAUAGUGGUGAGAACCCCGUAUAGGGUGCGGAUGCCCAGUGCUUUGUGAUAUACUUUCGAAGAGUCGAGUUGUUUGGGAAUGCAGCUCAAAUUGGGUGGUAAAUUCCAUCUAAAGCUAAAUAUUGGCGAGAGACCGAUAGCGAACAAGUACCGUGAGGGAAAGAUGAAAAGCACUUUGGAAAGAGAGUUAACAGUACGUGAAAUUGUUGGAAGGGAAACGCUUGAAGUCAGACUUGCAUUUUGGAGUUCAGCCGUAAGGUGUAUUCUUCAAUUCGCAGGCCAGCAUCAGUUUUUGGGGGUGGAAAAUCGUGGUUUGAAGGUAGCAGUCUCGGCUGUGUUAUAGCUUUCCACUGGAUUCACUUUUGGGGACUGAGGAACGCAGUACGCUUUUUGCAAGAUUCUCGGAUCUUUCGUACUUAGGAUGCUGGUGGAAUGGCUUUAAACGACCCGUCUUGAAACACGGACCAAGGAGUCUAACAUGUUUGCCAGUGUUUGGGUGUCAAACCCGGACGCGUAAUGAAAGUGAAUGGAGGUGGGAUCCGCAAGGUGCACCAUCGACCGAUCUGGAUUUUCUAAGAUGGAUUUGAGUAAGAGCAAUUAUGUUGGGACCCGAAAGAUGGUGAACUAUGCCUGAAUAGGGUGAAGCCAGAGGAAACUCUGGUGGAGGCUCGUAGCGGUUCUGACGUGCAAAUCGAUCGUCAAAUUUGGGUAUAGGGGCGAAAGACUAAUCGAACCAUCUAAAUGUUGCUUGGUGGUUAAUAGGGACUUCAAAGUAGAGCCCUAGUGGGAGUGGUAACUUGCGACACUUUCAAAUUGCGGGGACGCCCUUAGAGCUCUAAUUACGGCGGCUCAUCGAAAGAUAGAGUGCAGCAGCAGGUUAAUGGCCUCGCGGAUCGUAAAAACAUUAGAGAUUGGGUAAUCCGCAGCCAAGUCCUAAGUAGCGCCUUGGAGUCGCUAUAUGGAUGCAGUUCAUCGACUAAAUGGAAGUGGGUGUCCUUUCUUAACCGGAAGGGUGCUUGAGAUAUAGUCAGCCCCUCGUGAGAGCGAGCUAAUGGGACGAAGAUUCGAUUCGUUUUUACCACUAUAAACGACGUUUCCCGAGCCCAUUGGGGUCUAAUAAGAGGACAUAGUAAACCUCUUGAAGACUGGAUUACGUGCUAGUAGCUGGUUCCUGCCGAAGUUUCCCUCAGGAUAGCAGAAACUCACAUCAGUUCUAUGAGGUAAAGCGAAUGAUUAGAGGCCUUGGGGUUGAAACAACCUUAACCUAUU